AUGGAGAGCCCCCGCGACGCCCACCUCUCGCCGUCGCCGGAGGCCGCGCGGAUGCUGCAGGAGAUGCUGCUCCGGGACCUCCGGGAGGCGGAUGGGCCCGAUCUGCCGGAGGAGCAGUUGCGCUCCAACGACCAGCUGCAGCAAGACGAGAUACUGGCACUUGAGGCAAUUUAUGGAGACAAUUUGAAUAUUUUUGGUGAAAAGUCUGUACCACGCUCCUUCCAGAUCCAUGUGCACUGUGAAAUUCCAGAUGGUAUCAGUGUGUCCACAGAACUCCAGAGUGUUGAUGAUUAUCCAGACAACCAGUUCACAUUCAGUGUCAAGCACUUGGCUCCAAUAUCACUGACAUGCCUUAUGCCUCCAUCGUACCCGAGCCAUCAUCCUCCAUACUUCUCUCUCGGUGUACAGUGGUUGGAUAGUGUGAAGGUCUCGACCCUUUGUCACAUGCUUGACUCGAUUUGGGCACAGCAGUCUGGACAGGAAGUUGUUUUUGAGUGGGUGCAGUGGCUGCAGAGCUCUACGCUCUCUCAUCUUGGUUUUGAUGGCGGGAUAAUCAUACGCAAGUCUGAUUGUCCUGUGGCUCCUGUGGAUGCUCGGGUUGUUGGAGAGAUUCUGUCUGUAGAGGAGGUUGUUCAACAGUUGAUCAGCUAUGAUGAAGAGCAAUGCCUUGAAACAUUUCGUCGUGGCCUCCAUGUCUGCACAAUUUGUUUCAGUGAGCACCCAGGCAUAGACUUCGUAGAACUUCCAUGCCGUCAUUACUACUGCUGGAGGUGCAUGGAGACAUACUCAAAGUUGCAUGUCAAGGAAGGAUCAGUCCUGAAAUUGGUGUGCCCUGAUGACAAAUGUGGAUGUUCUAUUCCUCCUAAACUAUUGAAGAAGUUGCUUGGAGAUGCAGGUUUUGAACGGUGGGAAAGAUUGGUAUUUCAGAAGACUCUAGACUCAAGGGCUGAUGUAGCUUACUGUCCAAGAUGUGAAACAGCUUGCCUGGCAGAUGAGGACAGCGCCCAGUGCUCCAAUUGCCUCUUCACCUUCUGCGUCCGCUGCAGAAAUCGUCGCCAUGUAGGGGAGAGAUGCAUGACUCCAGAAGAAAAACUUAUUUCUGUACAGGAGCGUGAGAAGGCACGCAACUUGAGCAAAGGCAAUGCUGGACGUAAAGUCUCUGCGAGUGAUAUAUUUAGCAUCAAGGAAAUACUCCGUUCUUCUGUUAUGUGUCCGCAUUGUGGCUUUGCCAUCUCACGCGUGUCAGGCUGUGACCAGAUGCUUUGCAGAAACUGUGAGAAGUCGUUCUGUUAUGCCUGUGGCAAGCCAUCAAGUCAAGGUCAUACAAGUGAACAAUGCAAAAUCGAUAGGGAGAAGCUGAGAGUGAAGGUGGAAGUGAAUGAUGUCGUCAGAAACAUGCAGAAAGAGCUGAAACUGGCACUGUCCAGAGCGCAUCCGUGCCCGGGUUGCCGCCAGCCGAAUUUCAAGGUUGGGAACAACAACCACAUCUUCUGCGAGACAUGCCGGGUUCAUUGCUGCGCUCUGUGCCACACGGUGGUGCGAAAGAGCAAGGAGCACUAUGGCCCCCGAGGGUGCAAGCAGCACACUGUCGACCCCGACUUUGUCUAG
RNAcentral lists this ribosomal RNA (1608 nucleotides) under Triticum aestivum (bread wheat). RNAcentral's name for it is "partial small subunit ribosomal RNA". The record is from RNAcentral. Lineage: Eukaryota; Viridiplantae; Streptophyta; Magnoliopsida; Poales; Poaceae.